CUCCCCCCGUAGUCCCAGCUACUUGGGCAGCGAGGCGGGCGGACCACUUGAGCCCAGGAGCACUGCACAGUAGUGCACUGUGCUGACCAGCUGUCUAUACUGUCUUCAGCAUCAAAUGGUGACAUCGUGGGGCAGAGACCACCGGGUUGCCUAAGGAGGGGCGAACUGGACCAGGUCAGAAGCAGAGCAGGUCCAAACUCCCCUCCUGAUCAGUAGUGGGAUCAGGCCUGUGAACAGCCACUUCGCUCCAGCCUGGGCAAUAUAGCAUGACCUCAUCCUA
RNAcentral lists this signal recognition particle RNA (280 nucleotides) under Saimiri boliviensis boliviensis (Bolivian squirrel monkey). Its description in RNAcentral is "Metazoan signal recognition particle RNA (ENSSBOG00000003876.1)". It matches the Rfam family "Metazoan signal recognition particle RNA". Rfam says of the family: The signal recognition particle (SRP) is a universally conserved ribonucleoprotein. It is involved in the co-translational targeting of proteins to membranes. Lineage: Eukaryota; Metazoa; Chordata; Mammalia; Primates; Cebidae. The record is from RNAcentral.